Molecule: long non-coding RNA, 932 nt
Filed under: Pan troglodytes (chimpanzee)
Lineage: Eukaryota; Metazoa; Chordata; Mammalia; Primates; Hominidae
Description: long non-coding RNA NONPTRT005616
Source: RNAcentral
AAGCGUUAGGAGUGGAGAGGCGGGGACCCGACGGACGGUUUUUCCUCCCGCUCCUAACGGAACUGCUUGGGCAGAGCUGGGAGGGGGAGCGCGCCCUUGCCCCGGAGGCGGGGCUUAGGAACGCGUAGUGCACCCUGGCGGCUAGGGUUUAGUAACUGUGGGCGCGCUGGGUAGGUGGAGCUGAGGGGAUAAGGCGGGACUAACGGCUUGGCGCGCUGGAGGAGGUAGUUUGUAGGGAGCGCUGCCUGAGGCCGGGAGAAAGCGAAUCUGGCGCCUUUCCUGGGAUUUCGGUGGCCCUUGAAGGUUCCCUUUCCAGCUCAUUGCCUAGAGGGCGUAGCAGUCGCUUUUGGAUCAUAAAUAUUCAUGCCCUUCGACUCAACCCUAUGUUGGCGGUGAUUCUGCAGGUUGAAAACUCGGAUCUUUCAGGCCAGUGGGCUCCCACCUGCGACCCUAGGUCAAAGGACGGUCAGCUCCACAGAGUGAAAAUGUAUCAGUCCGGAGAAUCCAGUUCUAGUGGGGUAUCGGAAAACCAAGCCUAGUGUUUGGAAGAACAUUUUUCACUGAAACUCCAAGCCACUCUCCUUAUUCAAUCAAGAAAUAUUUAUUGAAAAAAUAACUAGGUGCGACGGGUAAAACAGUGAGCCAGGCAGACACGGACACUGCCUUCCCCAAAGGUUAUCUCAAUUUCCAUCAGGCCUCAGCUGAAAGCUCAUCUGCCAAAACACAUCAGCACUCAUGUAAAAUAAAAGGAGUAGGGAGGUGACUUUGUACACAAUACUGUACAGUGUUUGGCUUCCAGUUUCCCUCUUGUGUGUAACUAUUCUAGCACUUUAGGUUUUCUGAAGCGUUCCUUUAGGACUUAAAGGACAUCAUUGAAAUGUUGCUUUCCAUAGUCUGCAGGAUCCAUUUGAAGCUCUCGUUCUUCAUCAUCU